RNAcentral lists this ribosomal RNA (274 nucleotides) under uncultured bacterium. RNAcentral's name for it is "partial 16S ribosomal RNA". It matches the Rfam family "Bacterial small subunit ribosomal RNA", at positions 523 to 796 of the family's 1533-position model. The record is from RNAcentral.
AUACGGAGGGUGCGAGCGUUGUUCGGAAUUAUUGGGCGUAAAGAGCAUGUAGGCGGUCUGUUAAGUCUGGUGUGAAAGCCCGGGGCUCAACCCCGGAAGUGCAUUGGAUACUGGCAGACUUGAGUAUGGGAGAGGAAAGCGGAAUUCCGAGUGUAGGAGUGAAAUCCGUAGAUAUUCGGAGGAACACCAGUGGCGAAGGCGGCUUUCUGGACCAAUUCUGACGCUGAGAUGCGAAAGCGUGGGGAGCAAACAGGAUUAGAAACCCCAGUAGUCC